RNAcentral lists this ribosomal RNA (492 nucleotides) under uncultured bacterium. Its description in RNAcentral is "partial 16S ribosomal RNA". It matches the Rfam family "Bacterial small subunit ribosomal RNA", at positions 29 to 507 of the family's 1533-position model. The record is from RNAcentral.
AGUGAACGCUGGCGGUAGGCCUAACACAUGCAAGUCGAACGGCAGCACAGUAAGAGCUUGCUCUUACGGGUGGCGAGUGGCGGACGGGUGAGGAAUACAUCGGAAUCUACUUUUUCGUGGGGGAUAACGUAGGGAAACUUACGCUAAUACCGCAUACGACCUACGGGAGAAAGCAGGGGAUCUUCGGACCUUGCGCGAUUGAAUGAGCCGAUGUCGGAUUAGCUAGUUGGCGGGGUAAGGGCCCACCAAGGCGACGAUCCGUAGCUGGUCUGAGAGGAUGAUCAGCCACACUGGAACUGAGACACGGUCCAGACUCCUACGGGAGGCAGCAGUGGGGAAUAUUGGACAAUGGGCGCAAGCCUGAUGCAGCCAUACCGCGUGGGUGAAGAAGGCCUUCGGGUUGUAAAGCCCUUUUGUUGGGAAAGAAGAGCAGCAGGUUAAUACCCCGCUGUUCUGACGGUACCCAAAGAAUAAGCACCGGCUAACUUCGUG